CUGGUCUGAGAGGAUGACCAGCCACACUGGGACUGAGACACGGCCCAGACUCCUACGGGAGGCAGCAGUGGGGAAUUUUCCGCAAUGGGCGAAAGCCUGACGGAGCAAGACCGCGUGAGGGAGGAAGGCUCUUGGGUUGUAAACCUCUUUUCUCUGGGAAGAAGCUCUGACGGUACCAGAGGAAUCAGCAUCGGCUAACUCCGUGCCAGCAGCCGCGGUAAUACGGAGGAUGCCAGCGUUAUCCGGAAUUAUUGGGCGUAAAGCGUCCGUAGGUGGCCCUUCAAGUCUGCCGUUAAAACCAGUAGCUUAACUACUGAAUAGCGGUGGAAACUGAAGAGCUAGAGUGUGGUAGGGGUAGAGGGAAUUCCCAGUGUAGCGGUGAAAUGCGUAGAGAUUGGGAAGAACACC
RNAcentral lists this ribosomal RNA (408 nucleotides) under Limnoraphis cryptovaginata AUS-JR/DB/NT-005. RNAcentral describes it as "bacterial SSU rRNA". It matches the Rfam family "Bacterial small subunit ribosomal RNA", at positions 287 to 710 of the family's 1533-position model. Lineage: Bacteria; Bacillati; Cyanobacteriota; Cyanophyceae; Oscillatoriales; Sirenicapillariaceae. The record is from RNAcentral.